CUCCUCAGUCUCUCAUCAGCCCUUGCUAAACUUUAACCCAAUGGCGAUUUUAUUCUGUUGAUGGGAUCUGAGCUCUGUUCGGAUAUAUUGAGCGCUCAGAUCCAAGCUAUCUGGAGAUAGGUUGAAUGUGGGGGUUCUGUUCAGUAUAAUAGGAAUUAUGUAUUUUUAUGUAUUUUUCCUCUUGUUGUAAAUGGAUAUAUUCCCUUUACCUGGAGAUAAUUAAGUUACCAUACCCACUUAAGCCAAUUAUCUCCAGGAUAGAGGAGAAGAUAG
This is a non-coding RNA of Pelobates cultripes (western spadefoot toad), 273 nucleotides long. The record is from the annotation of a GenBank genome assembly. Lineage: Eukaryota; Metazoa; Chordata; Amphibia; Anura; Pelobatidae.